Molecule: ribosomal RNA, 443 nt
Filed under: uncultured bacterium
Lineage: Bacteria
Description: partial 16S ribosomal RNA
Rfam family: Bacterial small subunit ribosomal RNA
Source: RNAcentral
CCUACGGGAGGCAGCAGUGGGGGAUAUUGGACAAUGGGCGGAAGCCUGAACCAGCGACGCCGCGUGAAGGAAGAAGGCUUUCGGGAUGUAAAGCUCUUUUAGCAGGGAAGAAAGAAGUGACGGUACCUGACCAAGAAGCCACGGCUAACUACGUGCCAGCAGCCGCGGUAAUACGUAGGGGGCAAGCGUUAUCCGGAUUUACUGGGUGUAAAGGGAGCGUAGGCGGGUGUGUAAGUCAGGUGUGAAAGGUCGGGGCUCAACCCCAGGACUGCAUUUGAAACUGUUGUUCUUGAGUGCAGGAGAGGUAAGCGGAAUUCCUGGUGUAGCGGUGAAAUGCGUAGAUAUUAGGAGGAACACCAGUGGCGAAGGCGGCUUGCUGGACUGUAACUGACGUUGAGGCUCGAAAGCGUGGGGAGCAAACAGGAUUAGAUACCCCUGUAGUC